Molecule: long non-coding RNA, 620 nt
Organism: Cheilinus undulatus (humphead wrasse)
Lineage: Eukaryota; Metazoa; Chordata; Actinopteri; Labriformes; Labridae
Exons: 5
Source: RefSeq, a predicted model, not a curated record
GGGAUUUUGGUCCUGCUGAAAGAGAAUAGCACAAUUCUACAAGGACGCUGUCUAUAGAAGACAGAAGAUUGCUCUGUUGUUAUGGUGAUGCCUCCUUCAUGCAAGAACACUGAGAGAAGGAGGGCCAUCAAUAUUGGAGCUCAGCACAGAAGAACCUCCAAGAGUUGAACUUAGAGGAAUGCUCAGUGUUGUUGUUCGUGCAGGAAGUGACACGUGUCACUUCUGGGAUUGUGUCGGUGCAGACAAGCAGGGAGCAGGUUGGUCAGUCACCUCACGGCACCGAAGCUCGCAGCAGGACACCUGUGGACUGAUAAAUCACAAAUCACAGUGCAGAGACAGAGCUCGGCUGGUGUUGCAUCAUGUGCAGAUUUUCCAGACUUUAUAUUCCUAUUGGCUGGAGAUGUCUGACUGUUGAACUGUGGCUAACCUGGCAGGCCCAUGAAUUCAUCUAACUCAUCAUGAGAAAGAAAAGAUCAACGUGCAUCAGCGAUAAACAUCAGCCAGGACUCAACGCUGAACAGGAAGAGAGAUCAGUCAGUCUGGAGUUUUGUCCGUGGAGGCCAGGUGAGCGAGGCCUCUUAUUGGUCGGAGAGGAUCAGGCCAAACAGCCAACCCAGGCC